AACUGGCUGACAGUCAAGCGUGCUUUACAACUUGUGGUUGAAGACACUGAUAUUUCCAUGUAUUAUAGUUCCCAAUCAUCAAAUUGGUUUCUUCUAAUAAGUUCAUGUUUUCUUGUUUAGACUUUAGAAUGUUUGUAAAUUUGCCUUUUUCAGUUCUGCUUCAUAUGUCAUAAGCUAAACGGGCCUCACUCUUUGACUGCCAACUGAGGAGAUUACGGGAGACUCAUGUGCUAG
RNAcentral lists this unclassified non-coding RNA (234 nucleotides) under Hevea brasiliensis (rubber tree). The record is from RNAcentral. Lineage: Eukaryota; Viridiplantae; Streptophyta; Magnoliopsida; Malpighiales; Euphorbiaceae.